AGGAGAUGACGAUCCAUUCCUGGGUGGACGGCCAGCGUUCCAUCUUCACUAACACGAUAUAGUUGAAGAGCAUCAGCCACUUCACACCUUGAACUUGAAUCCUCUCCAGCUGGAUACCUGAAAUAGGCUCUCAACACAAGCAGGGUCUAUGAGCCAGUUGGACCCCUGCCUCCUUUCUUCUUGGACCAGAAGAGGACCCAACCUGCUCCUAGAGAAACUUGCUACGAUGCAGAAGUGAGAUUAUAUGGAAAUGAAGUGUGUCCUACCUUUCAGAAACUUGGGAGAGUAGGAGAGACCAUUUUUGGAAAUCUGGUGAGAAAUACUCUUACAGAGAAAAACACAGCCCAAAGCACGUGGGACCUUCAAUCUGAAAUUGAAUUGUAUUGUUAAGCAUGUCUGGUGAUUCAAAAGCCUGGCAUACCUCAUUUCCAGUCACUUCCUCGAGGCCUGGGCUUUGUCACUAUGUGAAGAUGAAUUUUGGAGAAUCAUGUAAACAUAAUUGAACAGAUCUGGGGGAUCCAGUCUGAUGGGUUUGCUGAGGCCAAUCCAGUCAGCCACGCAGAACGGUGCUGGACACACAGGCUCCACCGCCCGCCCCCGCCCCCCCCCUCCAAAGAGGCAGCCUCCCAGCAAGCUGCCAAUGACAUAAGCAAAGCAGUGUGUCUCAAGUGUCUCUAAUCAUAAGAUUCGCCUGGGAAGCUGGUUAAACUAACACAGCCUCUUAGGUUCCUUCCUGAAGACUGGAUUCCAAGGGUCUAUGAUGGGGCUAGAAAUUUGCAUUUCUAACAAAAUGCCCUUGUCAUCAUGGAUGUUUUAGAGAUAUUGAUAGAUACUAUUAUUUCUACUGAUUUCUGCUCUCAGGAGUCUGUAAACUUUUUCUGCAAAUGGCCAACUGGUUAACUUUUAAGGCUUUGUAGACCCGAUAGUCUCUCUCUCUGUCUCUCACUACUCAUCAACUUGAUGUGGUAGCACGAAAGCAGUCAGCCUAUUGCUAAUGGUAAAUGAGGUUUAGCCUAAAGCUGCCUCCUUACAUAUUUUAAGUUCGGCCUAAAGUUUUCUCUGUACUUUGUGAACUAUAACAAAUGAAGGUAUAACAAGACUAAUCACCGAGUUUUGGUCAAUCAAAUGUAGCCAACUGCUCAAACUGUGUUCAAAUAAGGCAAACGCUGAGCUGUAACCAAUCCAGCUGUUUCUGUACCUCACUUCCGUUUUCUGUAUGCCACUUCCCUUUUUUUGUCCAUAAAUCUUCCACCACGUGGCCCUGCCAGAGUCUCUGAGCCUACUCUGGCUUGGAAGACUGCCCAAUUCACAAAUCGUUCAUUGCUCAAUUAAACUCCUUUAAAUUUA
Long non-coding RNA from Pongo pygmaeus (Bornean orangutan), 1347 nucleotides. RefSeq lists it as uncharacterized. The transcript is spliced from 2 exons. NCBI's taxonomy places the organism in Eukaryota, Metazoa, Chordata, Mammalia, Primates, Hominidae. The record is from RefSeq and is a predicted model, not a curated record.